This is a non-coding RNA of Perkinsus marinus ATCC 50983, 72 nucleotides long. NCBI's taxonomy places the organism in Eukaryota, Perkinsozoa, Perkinsida, Perkinsidae. The record is from Rfam.
GGCUGUGUGGUCUAGUGGUAUGAUUCGCGCUUCGGGUGCGCGAGGUCCCGGGUUCGAUUCUCGGCUCAGCCC